UGCGUAGGUGGUCGGGUAAGUCUGAUGUGAAAUCUCCAAGCUCAACUUGGAAACGGCAUUGGAUACUAUUCGGCUAGAGGGUUUGAGGGGGGGGCUGGAAUACUUGGUGUAGCAGUGAAACGCGUAGAUAUCAAGUGGAACACCAGUGGCGAAGGCGAGUCCCUGGAAAACUCCUGACACUGAGGCACGAAAGCUAGGGGAGCAAACA
Molecule: ribosomal RNA, 208 nt
Filed under: uncultured bacterium
Lineage: Bacteria
Description: partial 16S ribosomal RNA
Rfam family: Bacterial small subunit ribosomal RNA
Source: RNAcentral